This 252-nucleotide ribosomal RNA is filed under the name uncultured bacterium. Its description in RNAcentral is "partial 16S ribosomal RNA". It matches the Rfam family "Bacterial small subunit ribosomal RNA", at positions 524 to 776 of the family's 1533-position model. The record is from RNAcentral.
UACGGAGGAUGCGAGCGUUAUCCGGAUUUAUUGGGUUUAAAGGGUGCGUAGGCGGACUGUCAAGUCAGCGGUAAAAUUGAGAGGCUCAACCUCUUCCCGCCGUUGAAACUGGUAGUCUUGAGUGGAUGAGAAGUACGCGGAAUGCGUGGUGUAGCGGUGAUAUGCAUAGAUAUCACGCAGAACUCCGAUUGCGAAGGCAGCGUACCGGCAUCCAACUGACGCUGAGGCACGGAAGCGUGGGGAUCAAACAGG